GUACGCUGGCGGCACGCCUAACACAUGCAAGUCGAACGAAGUAGCAAUACUUAGUGGCAGACGGGUGAGUAACAUGUAGGUAUCUGCCCUUUGGCCUGGAAUAACACGAGGAAACUUGUGCUAAUACCGGAUAAGUCUUUACGGAGAAAGCUUUAUGCACCAUUGGAUGAGCCUGCACUUGAUUAGUUUGUUGGUAGGGUAAUGGCCUACCAAGACUGUGAUCAAUAGCUGAUUUGAGAGGAUGAUCAGCCACAUUGGGACUGAGACACGGCCCAAACUCCUACGGGAGGCAGCAGUGGGGAAUCUUGCACAAUGGAGGAAACUCUGAUGCAGCGAUGCCGCGUGAGUGAAGAAGGCCUUUGGGUUGUAAAGCUCUUUCGUCGGGGAAGAAAAUGACUGUACCCGAAUAAGAAGGUCCGGC
Molecule: ribosomal RNA, 421 nt
Filed under: uncultured bacterium
Lineage: Bacteria
Description: bacterial SSU rRNA
Rfam family: Bacterial small subunit ribosomal RNA
Source: RNAcentral